NGCCCUAUAGCUCAGUGGUUAGAGCACUGGUCUUGUAAACCAGGGGUCGCGAGUUCAAAUCUCGCUGGGGCCU
Oreochromis niloticus (Nile tilapia) is the source of this 73-nucleotide non-coding RNA. The record is from Rfam. NCBI's taxonomy places the organism in Eukaryota, Metazoa, Chordata, Actinopteri, Cichliformes, Cichlidae.